Molecule: ribosomal RNA, 253 nt
Filed under: uncultured Eubacteriales bacterium
Lineage: Bacteria; Bacillati; Bacillota; Clostridia; Eubacteriales
Description: uncultured Clostridiales bacterium partial 16S ribosomal RNA
Rfam family: Bacterial small subunit ribosomal RNA
Source: RNAcentral
UACGUAGGAGGCAAGCGUUAUCCGGAUUUACUGGGUGUAAAGGGAGCGUAGACGGUACGCCAAGUCUGAAGUGAAAUGCCGCAGCUUAACUGCGGAACUGCUUUGGAAACUGCCAUGCUGGAGUGCCGGAGAGGUAAGCGGAAUUCCUAGUGUAGCGGUGAAAUGCGUAGAUAUUAGGAGGAACACCAGUGGCGGAGGCGGCUUACUGGACGGUAACUGACGCUGAGGCUCGAAAGCGUGGGGAGCAAACAGG